This 99-nucleotide transfer RNA is filed under the name Mycobacterium bourgelatii. RNAcentral describes it as "tRNA-Pro". Lineage: Bacteria; Bacillati; Actinomycetota; Actinomycetes; Mycobacteriales; Mycobacteriaceae. The record is from RNAcentral.
GGGCGGUGUGGAUGACCGGCUCGGGCCAGGCUGCGGGGAGCGGCUUAAUUGCCGCCGCAUGCGCGGCGGCGGCGCGUCCAGCACGCCCACCGACCACCA